AUGAACGCUGGCGGCGUGCCUAAUACAUGCAAGUCGAGCGAACAGAUGAGGAGCUUGCUCCUCUGACGUUAGCGGCGGACGGGUGAGUAACACGUGGAUAACCUACCUAUAAGACUGGGAUAACUUCGGGAAACCGGAGCUAAUACCGGAUAAUAUAUUGAACCGCAUGGUUCAAUAGUGAAAGACGGUUUUGCUGUCACUUAUAGAUGGAUCCGCGCCGCACUAGCUAGUUGGUAAGGUAACGGCUUACCAAGGCAACGAUGCGUAGCCGACCUGAGAGGGUGAUCGGCCACACUGGAACUGAGACACGGUCCAGACUCCUACGGGAGGCAGCAGUAGGGAAUCUUCCGCAAUGGGCGAAAGCCUGACGGAGCAACGCCGCGUGAGUGAUGAAGGUCUUCGGAUCGUAAAACUCUGUUAUUAGGGAAGAACAAAUGUGUAAGUAACUAUGCACGUCUUGACGGUACCUAAUCAGAAAGCCACGGCUAACUACGUG
Molecule: ribosomal RNA, 496 nt
Filed under: uncultured bacterium
Lineage: Bacteria
Description: partial 16S ribosomal RNA
Rfam family: Bacterial small subunit ribosomal RNA
Source: RNAcentral